This 380-nucleotide ribosomal RNA is filed under the name uncultured eukaryote. RNAcentral's name for it is "partial 18S ribosomal RNA". It matches the Rfam family "Eukaryotic small subunit ribosomal RNA", at positions 592 to 976 of the family's 1831-position model. The record is from RNAcentral.
CAAUAGCGUAUAUUAAUGUUGUUGCAGUUAAAAAGCUCGUAGUUGGAUUUCUGGUGGGAGCGGCCGGUCCGCCGUAAGGUGUGUACUUGGUUGUCUCCUGUCAUCCUUGUGGGAACUGCUCUGGCAUUAAGUUGUCGGGGUUAGGGAACACAUCGUUUACUGUGAAAAAAUUAGAGUGUUUAAAGCAGGCUUAUGCCGUUGAAUACAUUAGCAUGGAAUAAUAAGAUAGGACUUUGGCGUCUAUUUUGUUGGUUUGCACACCAACGUAAUGAUUAAUAGGGAUAGUUGGGGGUAUUCGUAUUUAAUUGUCAGAGGUGAAAUUCUUGGAUUUAUGAAAGACGAACUUCUGCGAAAGCAUUUACCAAAGAUGUUUUCAUUAA